Molecule: long non-coding RNA, 597 nt
Organism: Equus asinus (donkey)
Lineage: Eukaryota; Metazoa; Chordata; Mammalia; Perissodactyla; Equidae
Source: Ensembl
GUGAUUGUAGACAUAUUAAAGUAUUAAAGUUUAAGAAAUCUGCUUCGGCCAAUCUAUUUCUCUACACUGAAGGCUUUCAUAAUCCUUACUUCAGCUAAUUUAUUUCCGGCUGUCUGAAAAGCUAUUUGUGUGCAAAAGGCCGUAUCCUCCACAAGUGACUACAAAUACCAUCAACUGGAAACAGGCAGAGCUCACAUGCUUUAGCUCUGGUGUAUAGCCUCGUCUAUGAGAGUUCCUGAGUUAAAAGAUCAAUAGUAGAAUAGCUACUGUUUUCUCAAAAUCCUGGGAGAUUUUAUGCUGUAUAAUGGCACAUGCUGAUCUCAAUUCCUUUGUGAAUUCAUUUCAGAUUUCUUUAGUUUUCAGGAAUCAACAAUUUUGGUGGAAGAUAUAAACAACAAAACUAACACAGCAGAACAAAACUUUGGCAACAUGGAAGGUAUGCAUGCACAAAAAACCCAAACAAUAUCUAAAUGCAAGAAAAAUAGACAAUCUAAGAAAACAGAAUUAUAGUUGAAUGCCUCCAUAUUCUACUAUCAAACCACAACAGAAAAGGAGGACAAAAAUAAAAACUAUAUGAUGCUCAAUUGGGGGAUUUAU